Molecule: ribosomal RNA, 549 nt
Filed under: uncultured bacterium
Lineage: Bacteria
Description: bacterial SSU rRNA
Rfam family: Bacterial small subunit ribosomal RNA
Source: RNAcentral
UGGGGAAUAUUGGACAAUGGGCGAAAGCCUGAUCCAGCCAUGCCGCGUGUGUGAAGAAGGCCUUUUGGUUGUAAAGCACUUUAAGUGGGGAGGAAAAGCUUAUGGUUAAUACCCAUAAGCCCUGACGUUACCCACAGAAUAAGCACCGGCUAACUCUGUGCCAGCAGCCGCGGUAAUACAGAGGGUGCAAGCGUUAAUCGGAAUUACUGGGCGUAAAGCGCGCGUAGGUGGUUAUUUAAGUCAGAUGUGAAAGCCCCGGGCUUAACCUGGGAACUGCAUCUGAUACUGGAUAACUAGAGUAGGUGAGAGGGGAGUAGAAUUCCAGGUGUAGCGGUGAAAUGCGUAGAGAUCUGGAGGAAUACCGAUGGCGAAGGCAGCUCCCUGGCAUCAUACUGACACUGAGGUGCGAAAGCGUGGGUAGCAAACAGGAUUAGAUACCCUGGUAGUCCACGCCGUAAACGAUGUCUACCAGUCGUUGGGUCUUUUAAAGACUUAGCGACGCAGUUAACGCAAUAAGUAGACCGCCUGGGGAGUACGGCCGCAAGGUUA